Molecule: long non-coding RNA, 506 nt
Filed under: Salvia miltiorrhiza (redroot sage)
Lineage: Eukaryota; Viridiplantae; Streptophyta; Magnoliopsida; Lamiales; Lamiaceae
Description: long non-coding RNA (SMIL_LNC009408)
Source: RNAcentral
AGGCUCACUUCGUGUAUUCCCCUGUUUUUUUUUAUUCUUUUCUCUUUUCCCUUUUUUUUUUAACAUUUUUUGGAUUUUCUUUUUCUAGUUUUGUUUCUUUUUUUAUGCGUUUUUUUUCUUUUUUUUUUUGGUCAUUUUAUAUAUAUUUUUUCUUUUUCUUUUCUUUUCAAUGAUUUCUUCUUUUUUUACUGUUUUUCUAUUGCAUUUUUUUUAUUAAUUUUACUGUUUUUCUUUUGCAUUAUUUUAUAUAUUUUGUUUUUUUAUUCUUUCGGUAUUUUCUUUAUUUUUCGUUUGUUUUUUUAUUUACUAUUUUUCUUUUUCUUUUAUAUAUAUAUAUAUUUGUGAAAAAAUGUAAUAUUUUUAAAAUAGUACAUUUAUUCAUAACAAUAAUUACUUUUUAUAACGACAAUAAUUACUUGAGGAAAAUAACUAAAAGUAUAAGUUCUUGUGAGUAAAAAUAGCAAUUAUCGUGAACAAAUGUUUCAAAAUUAUUACAUUUGUUUAUG